GGGGAAACCACGUGGGGGGAAGGGCUGCGUGGGAGGGGGCCCCUGACUGUUCCUGGGUUCCCCACACUUGAAACAACCGGAGCGACCCGCGGGCACACGGCAACGCGGACGUGGGCCGCCCCGCGAUGGAGCGUUACUCAGCCGUGAACGGGAGCGGUCGCCGCGCUGCGGGGACGAGGCGGCGCGGGAACCUGAGGCUCCGAGGUGGGAGCGGAUACAGGGGCCGCAUGCAGGCGGUUCUGCCUCCGGAAGCAUCUGGAACAGGCACGGCCACGAGUCAGGGGGAAUGGAUCGCUGGGGCCCGGGGAGGGGGCGGAGGUGAGCGUCCUCCCGGGUGACGGAAAUGUUCUAAAAAUGGGCAGAGGUGACGGUGGCGCGGCUCUGUGAUGUGCUGGAAGCUGAAGGCCCGGCCCAGAGAGAUCCCCAGGUCGCUGCCGGCCCCACGCCCCAGCCUCGGCAGCCUGACCCUCCCCAGGAACCCUGGGGCAACUCACACCCUCGGGGCACCGAGAACCCCGAGAUGCGUCCCCGGAUUCCUCGCUGCGCCCACCCCCGGGGGCCAAGUGCUGGAGCUCACAGCCCCGCCAGGAGGGGACCCUCAGACCCAGGGGACUCGGGGCCACCCCAGGACCUGGCGACACCUGCAGGACGAGCCGGGCAGCCCCGGACGUGCAGACAGGGCACGUGUUCUAUCUUUACGGAUCAGGGGCCAUUUGCACCGCCCCCAGCUGUGGCAGAGGUAGGGAGCCCGCCCACCCCUGCACCCUCAGGAGGGGCCUGGGGCAGCGGGUGAGGUGCCCACACACCCCAGCCACCACCCGGCAGGCAGAGCCGGGACCCCAACGGUGUUUCCAUGAUUUACUGUGAGGCGGGCCCGCUUGCUUACCAUUCCCUUCGGUCCACCUAAUGCCGCUUCCCUGCCCUGCUGCUUGGCAGUUCCGGGGUGGGGGGCUGCCACACCAAGCCCACCAGCCCGCCCAGCCGGGGGAUGCCGGCCGCCCUGGCAGGAAUUUCCCAUGAUCGCCGACUCGGCCUCGGAGGGCUAACCCUGGUAAGCGGGAGGCUCUUGAAGGAGAUGCUGCGGGACGCGGGACCUGGCCCCGAGGAGAGCUGGGCCCUGGAAGCUGCGGCCCGUGCAUGGGCAGCGGGGGGACUCCAGCCUAAAGUGGGGGCUUCCAGAACCCUCCUGCAUCCUCAGUGGGCAAGCACCAGUCCUGGCUAAGUCCCGGGUGGAGUCUAUGGGCUCCCAUCCCCCCCCACGCGCUGCCCCCGCCUGGGGACGGCCCCGUGGGACCAGCCAGGGGCGCGGAGUUGGGAGGUGGGAUGGAGGCUGGCCAGGGGAGGCCUCAUAGCAGGUGUGGUGGGGAGAGCGGGGUGUUGGACUAGCGCCCCCGGGGUUCCCGGCUGCUGGAUUGACCCUGCGUUCAGUCAGUGCACCAGUCCCUCCGGGACCAUCCCUCAAAAGCCGUACUGUGGCCACCGUGCAGCAUGAAGGGGCAGCCCUGCUUCCCCAGCCUCAGGAAGGGAGCCCAC
Vulpes vulpes (red fox) is the source of this 1533-nucleotide long non-coding RNA. Lineage: Eukaryota; Metazoa; Chordata; Mammalia; Carnivora; Canidae. The record is from Ensembl.